This 1611-nucleotide long non-coding RNA is filed under the name Betta splendens (Siamese fighting fish). RNAcentral's name for it is "lncRNA (ENSBSLG00000004402.1)". The record is from RNAcentral. Lineage: Eukaryota; Metazoa; Chordata; Actinopteri; Anabantiformes; Osphronemidae.
CAUGAAGUAGAGGAGACAGGACGAGGGAGAAAGGACGAAGGAAGCAUCAGUUGGAGCAGUUCAGCAUGAGCCACAUGAACCACGGUCCGUGCGUGGACAAGGCGACGUGGAUGUACACGACGUUGCCUUGGAGAUCGAGGCGCGGGCAGAAACAGUACAAACAAUAAGAGCCGUUGUUAAAAACAGCCACAACCAUGACAUGAUGGCAUCAUUUCCACAUAAAAGAUAUGCUACGGUUUCACGUCACAGCUGAACCGCUGAGGUUCUGCUCCAAACCCGGUGAGCGGCUUAUGGUCACUGUUCGUUGAAAGUUUCAGACCAAAACUCAUCAGGGAAACUAAUGAACAAAAACACAGCGGGGGACUCUAUGAUUCCAAACUGGAUCUACCCGCUCACCUGAAAGAGGCGCGCCCUGAGCAGGACGUCAAAAAGCUUAAACCUACGGGCACCUGUCAAUUAAACCAACCUCACCGCAGCGGGCGCGUGACGGUAAAUGCCACUCAACCCGUUUCUUUCGCCAUUCAAGGGUCCGACACACCUGACGCAGGACAAAGCUGCCAUAUAAAAGCUGCAGGUGUUUGUUGAGCGACACUCAUCACUAAGCGGCCGAACCAACGGGACCAGGCGGCGUCGACGGACACGAACAGCUCAAUUUUUUUUCACAAUGAUGAUGAAAACCUGUAUUGUUCUUCUCCUGCUGUUUGUUGCCUCAGGCAACACACAGACUUUAACAACAGUUCCUCCAGCCACCACCACAGUGGCCAUGACCACGGAAUCAACUACCACCGGAGCAACAACUACCACAGGAGCAACCAACACCACAGUGGCCAUGACCACAGGAGCAACUACGACCGGAGCAACUACGACCGGAGCAACAACUACCACCGGAGCAACAACUACCACCGGAGCAACAACUACCACAGGAGCAACAACUACCACAGGAGCAACCACCACCACAGUGGCCAUGACCACAGGAGCAACUACGACCGGAGCAACUACGACCGGAGCAACAACUACCACAGGAGCAACAACUACCACAGGAGUAACUACGACCGGGGGAUCAACUACCACCGGAGGAUCAACUACCACCGGAGCAACUACCACCGGGGGAUCAACUACCACCGGAGCAACUACGACCGGGGGAUCAACUACCACCGGGGGAUCAACUACCACCGGAGGAUCAACUACCACCGGAGCAACUACCACCGGAGGAUCAACCGCCACUGUAUCCACAACAAAAGCCACCUCUUCAGCAGCCAUAAACAAAACAAGCUUCCUUCUACUCACAUCAGUUGUCUCCUCACUUCUUUGGAAAUGAAUUUGCUCAAAUGAGGGACCAAACAGCUUGUUUGUAGUUGACACACUGAUGUUUAUAUGAAGGCGCAGCCUGAUUUGUGAGGCUUUAUUGUCAGGUUCUCUUCUUUUGUCCUGUUUAUAUUAAAGACGUAGAAAGGCAGCGUUCAACAGAUCUAAGUGACCCACACAGUGUGGCGACAGCUCUGUAGAACACUGUAGAUGCAUAAAACAUGUCCAAAUAUUAAAAGCACACAAACAUAGCAAACGUUGCUGCCUCAUCCUGUGUCUUUAUUUUGACUUAUGACUUACAGCAUA